GACGAACGCUGGCGGCGUGCUUAACACAUGCAAGUCGAGCGGUAAGGCCCUUCGGGGUACACGAGCGGCGAACGGGUGAGUAACACGUGGGUGACCUGCCCUUAGCUCUGGGAUAAGCCUGGGAAACUGGGUCUAAUACCGGAUAUGACCUCAUGACGCAUGUUGUGGGGUGGAAAGCCUUGUGCGGCUAGGGAUGGGCCCGCGGCCUAUCAGCUUGUUGGUGGGGUGAUGGCCUACCAAGGCGACGACGGGUAGCCGGCCUGAGAGGGCGACCGGCCACACUGGGACUGAGACACGGCCCAGACUCCUACGGGAGGCAGCAGUGGGGAAUCUUGCGCAAUGGGCGAAAGCCUGACGCAGCGACGCCGCGUGAGGGAUGACGGCC
RNAcentral lists this ribosomal RNA (385 nucleotides) under uncultured bacterium. RNAcentral describes it as "bacterial SSU rRNA". It matches the Rfam family "Bacterial small subunit ribosomal RNA", at positions 28 to 416 of the family's 1533-position model. The record is from RNAcentral.